This is a long non-coding RNA of Paramormyrops kingsleyae, 617 nucleotides long. RefSeq lists it as uncharacterized. The record is from RefSeq and is a predicted model, not a curated record. NCBI's taxonomy places the organism in Eukaryota, Metazoa, Chordata, Actinopteri, Osteoglossiformes, Mormyridae.
UCUGUCCUUCCUACUCGCUCAUCAUGUUCUUUGCAUAUCUCAUACGACUUACUCUCACCAAGGCCGUCUGAACCUCCGGCUCCAGGAGUCUGUGUGAAGACCACAGAUAAAGGGCCUGCUGCCCUCAGGGGGGGGCAGACAGACGCAGAACCGGCCGUGUGAGACACCUUCCCGUAACAUCUUCAUUCUGUCUUAAUAAACUGCUUAAGCUUAAGGAACCUGCCUCAUCAUUCAACCAAAAGAAUCUGAGGUUUCACUAAAGAAAUCUAUCAGUUGGGGUUAUGAACAGGAUCGGUGAGAGACAAGGCCGAGAGACUAAUUAAUGCUGGAUGACUGAAGACAAUUAAGCGUGCAAAUCAACUGAGGUUUCCGACGUGUGGGAAGAUCCCAUUGACGGAGGUCACACUCUGGUACCUGGUGAGUGGGUACUAAUCAAGACACCCCAGAAAGAACCGCUUGGGGCUAAGUGGGACCUCCGUCUAAUACAGCUCAGAUAUUGCAUCUGAGCACCUGUGGCAUGGCAGAGAGACAGACCAAUGUCUACAAGUCAGACAGCAUGCAUGCUGACAGACUGCACGAAGUGCCAGCACAUCGCCACGGCGACCGUUCCCGCACCU